GUCAGGAUGGCUGAGUGACCUAAGGUGCCAGACUCAAGUUCUGGAGGCGAGGGUUCGAAUCCCACUUCUGACA
Molecule: transfer RNA, 73 nt
Filed under: Cricetulus griseus (Chinese hamster)
Lineage: Eukaryota; Metazoa; Chordata; Mammalia; Rodentia; Cricetidae
Description: tRNA-Leu (CAA) (tRNA-Leu-CAA-4-1)
Rfam family: tRNA
About the family: Transfer RNA (tRNA) molecules are approximately 80 nucleotides in length. Their secondary structure includes four short double-helical elements and three loops (D, anti-codon, and T loops). Further hydrogen bonds mediate the characteristic L-shaped molecular structure. tRNAs have two regions of fundamental functional importance: the anti-codon, which is responsible for specific mRNA codon recognition, and the 3' end, to which the tRNAs corresponding amino acid is attached (by aminoacyl-tRNA synthetases). tRNAs cope with the degeneracy of the genetic code in two manners: having more than one tRNA (with a specific anti-codon) for a particular amino acid; and 'wobble' base-pairing, i.e. permitting non-standard base-pairing at the 3rd anti-codon position.
Source: RNAcentral